AGAGUUUGAUCAUGGCUCAGGACGAACGCUGGCGGUGUGCUUCACACAUGCAAGUCGAACGAGGUAGCAAUACCUAGUGGCGGACGGGUGAGUAACGCGUGGGAAUCUGCCUUAAGAUGGGGGAUAGCUGGCCGAAAGGCUAAUUAAUACCGCAUACGCGUAUAUUUCGACAGAUUUAUACGUAAAAGGAGUAAUCCGGC
RNAcentral lists this ribosomal RNA (200 nucleotides) under uncultured bacterium. RNAcentral's name for it is "partial 16S ribosomal RNA". It matches the Rfam family "Bacterial small subunit ribosomal RNA", at positions 8 to 219 of the family's 1533-position model. The record is from RNAcentral.